CCCAAGACACUUUAUUGAUAUAUAUUUAUAGUUUUCAUUUGUAAUAUUUUAUUCAGAGAGUUAAAAAAAAAACAACAGGUUUAUCUAAUGUUAUCGUGGAGUCCACGAGUUGUGAUUUAUUGGAUAAAUAACGUAAGAUAUUUUUUGUAUAAGGUAUCUCAAGAAACUUCAUUGUCAAUAAACAAGGGUUAGCUAAUAUUAUCUUGGAGUAAAUGAGUUGUGAUUUAAUGAAGAAACAAAGUAAGGUUUUUCUUUUGUAUGGUUUCCUUAGAAACCUUAUAUAUUUUUAUAUGUUGUAUUUCAUUGAGAGUAUUUUUUAAAACAACAUAAAUAUCUAAUGUUAUGGAGUCAUUGAGUUGUGGUUUAUUGGAUAAACAACGUAAGAUAUUUUUUACCAUAUGGCGUUUCAUGAAACUUAGUUGAUUUAUAUUUAUAGUUUUUAGAGAUAACAAACAUUUCAAGGCUUUUCUUUGUGGAAAAAAAGUAAUUUGUGAAAUUUAUUGGUUUAAAAUCUUAAAUUUUUAGAGAGUAAAGUAGAAGUUUCAUAUUCACAAAGUUUUUUUAAAUAUUUUUCUUUUGAAUUAUAUUUCUAAAAGUAUUUAUAUUUAAAUACUUUUAUUAUGUUGUUGGCAUCUUAUACGACUGCAUGAUUUAUUUCAUUUGACACCAAAUAACAGGACAGAUUAGAUUUUUAAAGACGAAUGUUAUAUAAAAGUAUAAACAGUAAAUACAAUUAUAACAUUUAUAUUUAAAAAUAUUUAUUACUUAUUUAAUGUUAUUACUAACUUGUAUUGUUUGUUUUGCAAUUACUUUAUUUUUAGUUAUUUACGUUACAGUUUUAUACUUAUUUUACAAUUUCUUGACUUUUGGCUAUUUUUUUAACUUUUGUAAUUACUAAAUCUUUCAGAUGGGGCUUGGCAGGCAACAAAUAUAGAUAUAUCAAGAAGUAUCAAACGUUAGCUCAUGCAAGCAUCAAGUUGGAAUUAUUGUAGAAGUUUAACUUUUCGCUAACCUUAAACUUUUAUAUGUAUUGUAUUGAAAGAAUAUUUUAUUGAAAUAAAAAUAUUUGGUAAUAUAAA
Long non-coding RNA from Hydra vulgaris (swiftwater hydra), 1079 nucleotides. RefSeq lists it as uncharacterized. Lineage: Eukaryota; Metazoa; Cnidaria; Hydrozoa; Anthoathecata; Hydridae. The record is from RefSeq and is a predicted model, not a curated record.